AGCGCAACCCUUGUCAUUAGUUGCUACGAAAGGGCACUCUAAUGAGACUGCCGGUGACAAACCGGAGGAAGGUGGGGAUGACGUCAAGUCCUCAUGGCCCUUAUGGGUAGGGCUUCACACGUCAUACAAUGGUCGGGACAGAGGGUUGCCAACCCGCGAGGGGGAGCUAAUCCCAUAAACCCGAUCGUAGUCCGGAUUGCAGUCUGCAACUCGACUGCAUGAAGUCGGAAUCGCUAGUAAUCGCGGAUCAGCAUGUCGCGGUGAAUACGUUCCCGGGUCUU
This 281-nucleotide ribosomal RNA is filed under the name uncultured Achromobacter sp. RNAcentral's name for it is "partial 16S ribosomal RNA". It matches the Rfam family "Bacterial small subunit ribosomal RNA", at positions 1095 to 1382 of the family's 1533-position model. The record is from RNAcentral. Lineage: Bacteria; Pseudomonadati; Pseudomonadota; Betaproteobacteria; Burkholderiales; Alcaligenaceae.